UGCGCGGCUACCAUGCAGUCGAACGGAAAGGCCUCUUUCGGGGGGUACUCGAGUGGCGAACGGGUGAGUAACACGUGAGUAACCUGCCCUUGACUUUGGGAUAACUUCAGGAAACUGGGGCUAAUACCGGAUAGGAGCUCCUGCUGCAUGGUGGGGGUUGGAAAGUUUCGGCGGUUGGGGAUGGACUCGCGGCUUAUCAGCUUGUUGGUGGGGUAGUGGCUUACCAAGGCUUUGACGGGUAGCCGGCCUGAGAGGGUGACCGGCCACAUUGGGACUGAGAUACGGCCCAGACUCCUACGGGAGGCAGCAGUGGGGAAUAUUGCACAAUGGGUGGAAGCCUGAUGCAGCAACGCCGUGUGCGGGAUGACGGCCUUCGGGUUGUAAACCGCUUUCGCUCAUGACGAAGCUUUGUGUGACGGUAGUGGGUAAAGAAGCACCGGCUAACUACGUGCCAGCAGCCGCGGUGAUACGUAGGGUGCGAGCGUUGUCCGGAUUUAUUGGGCGUAAAGGGCUCGUAGGUGGUUGAUCGCGUCGGAAGUGUAAUCUUGGGGCUUAACCCUGAGCGUGCUUUUGAUACGGGUUGACUUGAGGAAGGUAGGGGAGAACGGAAUUCCUGGUGGAGCGGUGGAAUGCGCAGAUAUCAGGAGGAACACCGGUGGCGAAGGCGGUUCUCUGGGCCUUUCCUGACGCUGAGGA
Molecule: ribosomal RNA, 696 nt
Filed under: uncultured bacterium
Lineage: Bacteria
Description: bacterial SSU rRNA
Rfam family: Bacterial small subunit ribosomal RNA
Source: RNAcentral